Molecule: ribosomal RNA, 404 nt
Filed under: uncultured bacterium
Lineage: Bacteria
Description: bacterial SSU rRNA
Rfam family: Bacterial small subunit ribosomal RNA
Source: RNAcentral
AAUCAACGCUGGCGGCGUGCCUCAGACAUGCAAGUCGAACGCGAAAGUUUCCUUCGGGAGACAAGUAGAGUGGCGCACGGGUGAGUAACACGUAGGUAAUCUACCUUUGGAUGGGGAAUAACAACCGGAAGCGGUUGCUAAUACCGCAUAAUGCAGCGGCACCUAAUGGUGACAGUUGUUAAAGCGGGGGAGUCGAAAGACCUCGCGUCUGAAGAGGAGCCUGCGGCGGAUUAGCUAGUUGGUAAGGUAAUGGCUUACCAAGGCUACGAUCCGUAACCGGCCUGAGAGGGGCGGUCGGUCACACUGACACUGACAUACGGGUCAGACUCCUACGGGAGGCAGCAGUCGGGAAUUUUGGGCAAUGGGCGAAAGCCUGACCCAGCAACGCCGCGUGAAGGAUGAAA